GGAGGGAUAGUUUAAUGGUAGAACGACAGAUUUUCAUUCUGACAGUAUCGGUUCGAAUCCGGUUCCCUUUA
This 71-nucleotide transfer RNA is filed under the name Parabacteroides sp. AF17-3. Its description in RNAcentral is "tRNA-Glu". It matches the Rfam family "tRNA". Rfam says of the family: Transfer RNA (tRNA) molecules are approximately 80 nucleotides in length. Their secondary structure includes four short double-helical elements and three loops (D, anti-codon, and T loops). Further hydrogen bonds mediate the characteristic L-shaped molecular structure. tRNAs have two regions of fundamental functional importance: the anti-codon, which is responsible for specific mRNA codon recognition, and the 3' end, to which the tRNAs corresponding amino acid is attached (by aminoacyl-tRNA synthetases). tRNAs cope with the degeneracy of the genetic code in two manners: having more than one tRNA (with a specific anti-codon) for a particular amino acid; and 'wobble' base-pairing, i.e. permitting non-standard base-pairing at the 3rd anti-codon position. The record is from RNAcentral. Lineage: Bacteria; Pseudomonadati; Bacteroidota; Bacteroidia; Bacteroidales; Tannerellaceae.